CAGGAGAGCAAACGCAG
This 17-nucleotide unclassified non-coding RNA is filed under the name Mus musculus (house mouse). RNAcentral describes it as "oocyte_clustered_small_RNA4917". The record is from RNAcentral. Lineage: Eukaryota; Metazoa; Chordata; Mammalia; Rodentia; Muridae.